AUUGAACGCUGGCGGCAGGCCUAACACAUGCAAGUCGAACGGUAACAGGAAGAAGCUUGCUUCUUUGCUGACGAGUGGCGGACGGGUGAGUAAUGUCUGGGAAACUGCCUGAUGGAGGGGGAUAACUACUGGAAACGGUAGCUAAUACCGCAUAACGUCGCAAGCCCAAAGAGGGGGACCUUCGGGCCUCUUGCCAUCGGCUGUGCCCAGAUGGGAUUAGCUAGUAGGUGGGGUAACGGCUCACCUAGGCGACGAUCCCUAGCUGGUCUGAGAGGAUGACCAGCCACACUGGAACUGAGACACGGUCCAGACUCCUACGGGAGGCAGCAGUGGGGAAUAUUGCGCAAUGGGCGCAAGCCUGAUGCAGCCAUGCCGCGUGUAUGAAGAAGGCCUUCGGGUUGUAAAGUACUUUCAGCGGGGAGGAAGGGAGUAAAGUUAAUACCUUUGCUCAUUGACGUUACCCGCAGAAGAAGCACCGGCUAACUCCGUG
Molecule: ribosomal RNA, 490 nt
Filed under: uncultured bacterium
Lineage: Bacteria
Description: partial 16S ribosomal RNA
Rfam family: Bacterial small subunit ribosomal RNA
Source: RNAcentral